This 1146-nucleotide ribosomal RNA is filed under the name Ligilactobacillus ruminis. Its description in RNAcentral is "Lactobacillus ruminis partial 23S ribosomal RNA". It matches the Rfam family "Bacterial large subunit ribosomal RNA", at positions 331 to 1479 of the family's 2925-position model. Lineage: Bacteria; Bacillati; Bacillota; Bacilli; Lactobacillales; Lactobacillaceae. The record is from RNAcentral.
AGGGGAACCGGGUUGAAUACCGGGCCGCAGAGGGUGAGGGCCCCGUACCUGAACGCGCAUGGUCUGCCGAUCGCGUCUCCCAAGUAGCACGGGUCCCGUGGAACCCCGUGCGAAUCCGCCCAGACCGUUGGGUAAGCCUGAAUAUUCCUGUCUGACCGAUAGCGAACGAGUACCGUGAGGGAAAGGUGAAAAGUACCCCGGGAGGGGAGUGAAACAGUCUCUGAAACCGUGCGCCUACAAUCCGUCGGAGCCCUUUUGUGGGGUGACGGCGUGCCUAUCGAAAAAUGAGUCUGCGAGUCAGUGGCAUGUGGCGAGCAUAACCCGUGUGGGGUAUGCGUAGCGAAGGCGAGUCUUAAAAGGCGUUUGAGUCGCGUGUCCUGGACCCGAAGCGGGAUGAUCUAGCCCUGAGCAGGUUGAAGCGCGGGUAAGACCGCGUGGAGGACCGAACCCACCUGGGUUGAAAACCGGGGGGAUGACUUGGGGCUAGGGGUGAAAGGCCAAUCAAAUUCCGUGAUAGCUGGUUCUCUCCGAAAUGCAUUUGGGUGCAGCGUCGGGUCAUUACGUCCCGGGGGUAGAGCUACUGGAUGCUUGCGGGCCCGUAUCGGGUACCAACAGCAACCAAACUCCGAAUACCGGUGACGCGUAUCCCGGCAGUGAGUCGGCGGGGGAUAAGCUUCGUCGUCGAAAGGGAAACAGCCCAGACCGUCGUCUAAGGUCCCGAAGCGUGUGCUAAGUGGGAAAGGAUGUGGAGUCGCAUAGACAGCCAGGAGGUUGGCUCAGAAGCAGCCACCCUUGAAAGAGUGCGUAACAGCUCACUGGUCUAGUGGUUCCGCGCCGACAAUGUAGCGGGGCUCAAGCACACCACCGAAGACGCGGCAGUAUUUUGUACUGGGUAGGAGAGCGUCCCAUGAGGGGCGAAGCGGCCGUGUGAACGCGCCGUGGACUUCAUGGGAGUGAGAAUGCAGACAUGAGUAGCGAGAGACGGGUGAAGAUCCCGUCCGCUGGAUGACCAAGGGUUCCAGGGCCACGUUCAUCGUCCCUGGGUGAGUCGGGUCCUAAGGCGAGGCCGACAGGCGUAGUCGAAUGGAUGAACGGGUGGAUAUUCCCGUACCGGCGGCGUACCGUAAGAGCCGAACGGAUGAGUAC